This 898-nucleotide long non-coding RNA is filed under the name Mytilus galloprovincialis (Mediterranean mussel). The record is from RNAcentral. Lineage: Eukaryota; Metazoa; Mollusca; Bivalvia; Mytilida; Mytilidae.
AUUUUAUGCGUCUAUUAUUGCUGUCAUGUUUGUUUAUUUUGAAGACAAUUUCGGCUAACAUGAUACUAUUGUGUGUUGUUAAAAUAAAUAUCACCAAUUCAAAGGAGUAGGCCUAAGAAUGCUAUAUCAAGUGAUUGCAAUUCUACGUCAUUUGUGAAAUGUUGGCCUUCCUUUUUUACUCUAUGAACAACGCAAAACAAUUAUUUUGGAUAGAAUUUUACAAUGAAUUUCUUUUGUGUCAAACACAAUUAUUAAUCAAAUAUUGAUUUCCAAAUAAAGUAUGGCAUUUUAUAAUUAUGAAGAUAUGAUUGAAAUUAAUCUGUAUUUAGAUAUUUCAUUUUUCAUAUAUUCCAAAAUAUUUCUAUUUCAUGUUUGGAUUUUCAGAUUCAUUGUUGCACCUACUAUUUAAGGCAUGUACAUGAUGAAAUGCAAAUUGAUUUUUUUUAGAAGUACUUUGGCUUUAAUAAGUGUGAUUUAUUCAAGCAUUUUUGUAUGCCUGUCACUAAUUAUGAUAUAUAAUGGUAGACUAUUUUUCAUUUAUAAAUUCAACAGAUAAGAGCAUGCCUUGGAUAACUCAGAAUUGCUUCACAUAUGUAGUUCCCAAGAUUUAAGUUUCUUCUUUUAUCUGAUCCCCUAUAAUUUCACAACAAUCAAACAUCUUAUAAAGCUACGUUUCAUUUUUUUAUCAUGAUUUAAAAUUUGUUCAUGUUUAAAAUGAAAGAGAUAGACAUAUCAAAGAAAAACUUUGCAGCUGCUAAAUUAUGUUUUACACUGUAUAAUGUAAGAGAGAGUAUUAGAAAGAAUAGUACACAUUCAAAAUUUGUUUGUUGCAAGUAUUAGCAGGUCCAAUGUCCCUACCUCAUAUUAAAAAUUUAUAUGGGAUAAUCAAUGUUAACAA